CGUAUCACCCAAGACAACUUUACGGAGUUGACGAUUGACGGAGCGAAGCGACGUCAAAGCGUUCAUUAAAGUCGAGUUGGCUUAGGGAUACGUUCGUUGGGUAGGGGAGCGUUCUGUAAGCCUGUGAAGGUGUGUCGUGAGGCAUGCUGGAGGUAUCAGAAGUGCGAAUGCUGACAUAAGUAACGAUAAAGCGGGUGAAAAGCCCGCUCGCCGGAAGACCAAGGGUUCCUGUCCAACGUUAAUCGGGGCAGGGUGAGUCGACCCCUAAGGCGAGGCCGAAAGGCGUAGUCGAUGGGAAACGGGUUAAUAUUCCCGUACUUGGUGUUACUGCGAAGGGGGGACGGAGAAGGCUAUGUUGGCCGGGCGACGGUUGUCCCGGUUUAAGCGUGUAGGUGUGUGUUCCAGGUAAAUCCGGUUCACUUUAACACUGAGGCGUGACGACGAGGCACUACGGUGCUGAAGCAACAAAUGCCCUGCUUCCAGGAAAAGCCUCUAAGCAUCAGGUAACACGAAAUCGUACCC
RNAcentral lists this ribosomal RNA (522 nucleotides) under Salmonella enterica subsp. enterica serovar Typhimurium. RNAcentral's name for it is "partial 23S ribosomal RNA". It matches the Rfam family "Bacterial large subunit ribosomal RNA", at positions 1154 to 1649 of the family's 2925-position model. The record is from RNAcentral. Lineage: Bacteria; Pseudomonadati; Pseudomonadota; Gammaproteobacteria; Enterobacterales; Enterobacteriaceae.